This 518-nucleotide long non-coding RNA is filed under the name Physcomitrium patens. RNAcentral's name for it is "long non-coding RNA (PPAT_LNC000507)". The record is from RNAcentral. Lineage: Eukaryota; Viridiplantae; Streptophyta; Bryopsida; Funariales; Funariaceae.
GGAAAAAAUAUGUUUUGAAGGGAUUUUGUUAUAUUUGGAGUUUUAUACAAAAAUAAAGGAGUUUUGGAAGCUAAGACAAGAAUCAUAUAAAGGUUUAAGCUACACUCUCUACAGCUAGAUACCUAGUAUAUUCUUAAAUAGCAAAUCACAUCAUAUGACAACGUGUUACAACUCUAUUUAGAAAUGAACACUUUUGUUGUUUGCCUUGUAUAUAACCUUCACAAGCAUGUGUAUGAUUGCUCGUUUUACUUAUUCCAAAUUAAUCUAAUGGAAAUAAACCGAUAUGAGGGGAUUCGAACAUGAAGAAUGACUAGUUGCUUAAGCAUUCACGUUAGGGUCACAUAAUCAAUUACCUCCUGAAUGUAUCGUCUCUAUUUCUAAUAUGUGAACAUACAAGGAAACUAUAAUCUCCUCCUUCACCUUAUCGGUCUCUUCCUUACAGCAAUUCAAUUAUAUCAAUAAUUGCUAUUUCCACCAAUAUAUUCACCUUCAUAAUCUCCGACUGUAAUACUGUGCCC